UACGGGGGGGGCAAGCGUUGUUCGGAAUUACUGGGCGUAAAGGGCUCGUAGGCGGCCAACUAAGUCGGAUGUGAAAUCCCCAGGCUUAACCUGGGAACUGCAUCCGAUACUGGAUGGCUUGAAUUCGGGAGAGGGAUGCAGAAUUCCAGGUGUAGCGGUGAAAUGCGUAGAUAUCUGGAGGAACACCUGUGGCGAAGGCGGCCAACUGGACAGAUACUGACGCUGAGACACGAAAGCGUGGGGAGCAAACAGG
This 253-nucleotide ribosomal RNA is filed under the name uncultured bacterium. Its description in RNAcentral is "partial 16S ribosomal RNA". It matches the Rfam family "Bacterial small subunit ribosomal RNA", at positions 524 to 776 of the family's 1533-position model. The record is from RNAcentral.